Molecule: ribosomal RNA, 404 nt
Filed under: uncultured Alphaproteobacteria bacterium
Lineage: Bacteria; Pseudomonadati; Pseudomonadota; Alphaproteobacteria
Description: bacterial SSU rRNA
Rfam family: Bacterial small subunit ribosomal RNA
Source: RNAcentral
GAGUUUGAUCCUGGCUCAGAACGAACGCUGGCGGCAGGCUUGACACAUGCAAGUCGAACGCGUGUAGCAAUACACGAGUGGCGCACGGGUGAGUAACACGUGGAUAUCUGCCUUUUGGUUCGGAAUAACUCCGGGAAACUGGAGCUAAUACCGGAUGGUUCCUUCGGGAUAAAGAUUUAUCGCCAAAAGAUGAGUCCGCGCACGAUUAGCUAGUUGGUGAGGUAAUGGCUCACCAAGGCGACGAUCGUUAGCUGGUCUGAGAGGACGAUCAGCCACACUGGGACUGAGACACGGCCCAGACUCCUACGGGAGGCAGCAGUGGGGAAUAUUGGACAAUGGGGGCAACCCUGAUCCAGCCAUGCCGCGUGAGUGAUGAAGGCCUUCGGGUUGUAAAGCUCUUUUGG